Molecule: transfer RNA, 73 nt
Filed under: Clostridiales bacterium
Lineage: Bacteria; Bacillati; Bacillota; Clostridia; Eubacteriales
Description: tRNA-Ala
Rfam family: tRNA
About the family: Transfer RNA (tRNA) molecules are approximately 80 nucleotides in length. Their secondary structure includes four short double-helical elements and three loops (D, anti-codon, and T loops). Further hydrogen bonds mediate the characteristic L-shaped molecular structure. tRNAs have two regions of fundamental functional importance: the anti-codon, which is responsible for specific mRNA codon recognition, and the 3' end, to which the tRNAs corresponding amino acid is attached (by aminoacyl-tRNA synthetases). tRNAs cope with the degeneracy of the genetic code in two manners: having more than one tRNA (with a specific anti-codon) for a particular amino acid; and 'wobble' base-pairing, i.e. permitting non-standard base-pairing at the 3rd anti-codon position.
Source: RNAcentral
GGGGAUAUAGCUCAGUUGGGAGAGCGCCUGCAUGGCAUGCAGGAGGCCGUGGGUUCGAGUCCCAUUAUCUCCA